AUGUCAUUUAAUUGUUUACAGCAAUCACACUAUAUCACUUCUCUUCAACAAAACCAUAUCAACGUUCAAACCAACAUACAAAUCAUAAAUUCGAAAGUAAUAUUCGAUCACGGAUACAUAUAUAGAGUCACACAAACUUCAUACCAUAUCAAAAGUACAUAUAAAUUUAAAAUGAAACACUUACCAGAAAAGACGCAAGGGAAGAAACGAAGAUGUCGGAAACACAAACACACGCACAACAACACAACAGCAGCAACGCAACCGGUAACGCAAUCGACGGCGCACAACAACAAGACCGCACCGACGCACAGUUCUUCAUUUUUAGGUUUUGUUCGUGGUACCCUUCACACACAAUGA
This is a non-coding RNA of Vicia faba (fava bean), 357 nucleotides long. Lineage: Eukaryota; Viridiplantae; Streptophyta; Magnoliopsida; Fabales; Fabaceae. The record is from the annotation of a GenBank genome assembly.